RNAcentral lists this ribosomal RNA (445 nucleotides) under uncultured sponge symbiont. RNAcentral's name for it is "bacterial SSU rRNA". It matches the Rfam family "Bacterial small subunit ribosomal RNA", at positions 9 to 453 of the family's 1533-position model. The record is from RNAcentral.
GAGUUUGAUCCUGGCUCAGAAUCAACGCUGGCGGCGUGCCUAACACAUGCAAGUCGAACGAGAAAGUCCCGCAAGGGACAAGUAGAGUGGCGAACGGGUGAGUAACACGUGGAUAACCUGCCGUCGAGUGGGGAAUAACCUUNCGAAAGGAGGGCUAAUACCGCAUAACACCCGAGGACAUAAGUCCCUGGGUUGAAAGGAGUGAUUCGCUCGAUGAGGGGUCCGCGCCUGAUUAGCUUGUUGGUGGGGUAAUGGCUCACCAAGGCUACAAUCAGUAGCCGUCCUGAGAGGGAGCACGGCCACACUGGAACUGAGACACGGUCCAGACUCCUACGGNAGGCAGCAGUGAGGAAUUUUUGGCAAUGGGCGAAAGCCUGACCAAGCANCGCCGCGUGGGUGAUGAAGUAUUUUGNUACGNAAACUCCUUUCUACCCCCAAGAAGGCC